CCCUUAGAUGUCCGGGGCCGCACGCGCGCUACACUGAAGGAAUCAGCGUGGCUUUCUCCCUGACCCGAAAGGGUUGGGAAACCCGUUGAAUCUCCUUCGUGAUAGGGAUUGGGGCUUGAAAUUGUUCCCCAUGAACGAGGAAUUCCCGGUAAGCGCGAGUCAUAAGCUCGCGUUGAUUACGUCCCUGCCCUUUGUACACACCGCCCGUCGCUACUACCGAUUGAACGGUUUAGUGAGGGCCUCGGAUUGGUCUCGGCCCGCUCUUUACCGGGCGGCGCCGUUGGUCGAGAAGACGCUCGAACUUGAUCGUUUAGAGGAAGUAAAAGUCGUAACA
RNAcentral lists this ribosomal RNA (334 nucleotides) under uncultured eukaryote. RNAcentral's name for it is "partial 18S ribosomal RNA". It matches the Rfam family "Eukaryotic small subunit ribosomal RNA", at positions 1470 to 1796 of the family's 1831-position model. The record is from RNAcentral.